This 440-nucleotide ribosomal RNA is filed under the name uncultured bacterium. Its description in RNAcentral is "partial 16S ribosomal RNA". It matches the Rfam family "Bacterial small subunit ribosomal RNA", at positions 338 to 795 of the family's 1533-position model. The record is from RNAcentral.
CCUACGGGAGACAGCAGUGGGGGAUAUUGCACAAUGGGGGAAACCCUGAUGCAGCGACGCCGCGUGGGUGAAGAAGCGCCUCGGCGCGUAAAGCCCUGUCAGCAGGGAAGAAAAUGACGGUAUCUGAAGAAGAAGCCCCGGCUAACUACGUGCCAGCAGCCGCGGUAAUACGUAGGGGGCAAGCGUUACCCGGAUUUACUGGGCGUAAAGGGGGCGCAGACGGCGAUGCAAGCCAGGGGUGAAAGCCCGGGGCCCAACCCUGGGACUGCACUUGGAACUGCGUGGCUAGAGUGCAGGAGGGGCAGGCGGAAUUCCUGGUGUAGCGGUGAAAUGCGUAGAUAUCAGGAGGAACACCGGUGGCGAAGGCGGCCUGCUGGACUGCAACUGACGUUGAGGCGCGAAAGCGUGGGGAGCAAACAGGAUUAGAUACCCGAGUAGUC